Molecule: ribosomal RNA, 548 nt
Filed under: uncultured bacterium
Lineage: Bacteria
Description: bacterial SSU rRNA
Rfam family: Bacterial small subunit ribosomal RNA
Source: RNAcentral
GUCGGGAAUUUUGGGCAAUGGGCGCAAGCCUGACCCAGCAACGCCGCGUGAAGGAUGAAGUUUUUCGGAAUGUAAACUUCACAAGAACGGGACGAAUAAGGUGCAGCAAAUACCUGUACCGAUGACAGUACUGUUAGUAAGCUCCGGCUAACUCCGUGCCAGCAGCCGCGGUAAUACGGGGGGAGCAAGCGUUGUUCGGAUUUACUGGGCGUAAAGGGCGCGUAGGCGGCCGCGUCAAGUCACUUGUGAAAUCUCCGGGCUUAACUCGGAGCGGCCAAGUGAUACUGAUGGGCUAGAGUGCAGAAGGGGCCACUGGAAUUCUUGGUGUAGCGGUGAAAUGCGUAGAUAUCAAGAGGAACACCUGCGGCGAAGGCGGGUGGCUGGGCUGACACUGACGCUGAGGCGCGAAAGCUAGGGGAGCGAACGGGAUUAGAUACCCCGGUAGUCCUAGCCAUAAACGAUGGAUGCUUGGUGUGCGGAGUGAUGAAGUCUGCGCGUGCCGAAGUUUACACGAUAAGCAUCCCGCCUGGGGAGUACGGUCGCAAGAG